RNAcentral lists this ribosomal RNA (276 nucleotides) under uncultured bacterium. RNAcentral's name for it is "partial 16S ribosomal RNA". It matches the Rfam family "Bacterial small subunit ribosomal RNA", at positions 51 to 309 of the family's 1533-position model. The record is from RNAcentral.
ACACAUGCAAGUCGAACGAAGCACUUUAACCUGAUUCUUCGGAUGAAGGUUUUUGUGACUGAGUGGCGGACGGGUGAGUAACGCGUGGGUAACCUGCCUCAUACAGGGGGAUAACAGUUAGAAAUGACUGCUAAUACCGCAUAAGACCACGGAGUCGCAUGGCUCAGUGGGAAAAACUCCGGUGGUAUGAGAUGGACCCGCGUCUGAUUAGGUAGUUGGUGGGGUAACGGCCUACCAAGCCAACGAUCAGUAGCCGACCUGAGAGGGUGACCGGCC